This 1574-nucleotide ribosomal RNA is filed under the name Nodipecten subnodosus. RNAcentral's name for it is "bacterial LSU rRNA". It matches the Rfam family "Bacterial large subunit ribosomal RNA", at positions 577 to 2039 of the family's 2925-position model. The record is from RNAcentral. Lineage: Eukaryota; Metazoa; Mollusca; Bivalvia; Pectinida; Pectinidae.
GAGCCUUUUGGGGUGACAGCGUGCCUUUUGAAGAAUGAGCCUGCGAGUUAGUGUUAUGUCGCGAGGUUAACCCGUGUGGGGUAUCCGUAGCGAAAGCGAGUCUGAAUAGGGCGUUUGAGUGGCAUGACCUAGACCCGAAGCGGAGUGAUCUACCCAUGGCCAGGUUGAAGCGCGUGUAAGAGCGCGUGGAGGACCGAACCCACUUCAGUUGAAAAUGGAGGGGAUGAGCUGUGGAUAGGGGUGAAAGGCCAAUCAAACACCGUGAUAGCUGGUUCUCCCCGAAAUGCAUUUAGGUGCAGCGUUGCGUGGUUCUUGUUGGAGGUAGAGCACUGGAUGGUCUAGGGGGCUUAUCGGCUUACCGAAAUCAGCCAAACUCCGAAUGCUGGCAAGUGUAGCGUGGCAGUGAGACGGCGGGGGAUAAGCUUCGUCGUCGAGAGGGAAACAGCCCAGAUCAUCAGCUAAGGCCCCUAAGUGGUGACUCAGUGGGAAAGGAUGUGGAGUUGCGUAGACAACCAGGAGGUUGGCUUGGAAGCAGCCAUCCUUGAAAGAGUGCGUAAUAGCUCACUGGUCAAGUGAUUCCGCGCCGAUAAUGUAGCGGGGCUUAAGUUAUCCGCCGAAGCUGUGGCAACCUGUGUGGUUGGGUAGGGGAGCGUCGUGUCAGUGGUGAAGCUGCCGGGUGACUGUGUGGUGGAGUUGAUGCGAGUGAGAAUGCAGGCAUGAGUAGCGUGUGACGGGUGGGAAUCCCGUCCGCCGAUUAUCCAAGGGUUCCAGGGUCAAGUUUGUCUGCCCUGGGUGAGUCGGGUCCUAAGGCGAGGCCGACAGGCGUAGUCGAUGGGUAACCAGUUGAUAUUCUGGUACCGGCUUGUCACCGUCCGUGUCGAGGUGUGUGAUGCUAAGCAUGUGAGCUUGUCUUGGGAGUGUUUUUGAUGCUUCUGGGGUGGGUGAGUGUGUGAACCGAUCAUGUAGUAGGCAAGCUGCGGAGGGACGCAGUGAGGUAGCUCAUCCCCGGUGAUGGUUGUCCGGGGCUAAGUGUGUGGACUGUCUGGUAGGUAAAUCCGCUGGGCAUGAAGGUUGAGGCAUGAUGGGGAGCCCACGGUUGUGGGUGAGUGAGUGAUCCUGUACUGUCGAGAAAAGCUUCGUGAGCGAGGUGGCGGGUCCGCCCGUACCCUAAACCGACACUGGUGGAUAGGUAGAGUAUACCGAGGCGAUCGAGUGAAUCGUGGUGAAGGAACUCGGCAAAAUGCCCCCGUAACUUUGGGAUAAGGGGGACCUGAGCUGUCGUGCACCCGUGCGGUGUGGUGGCGGUGAGGGGCGCAGAGUCCAGGGGGAAACGACUGUUUACCAAAAACACAGGUCCGUGCGAAGUCGUAAGACGAUGUAUACGGACUGACUCCUGCCCGGUGCUGGAAGGUUAAGGGGAACUGUGAGUGUAUGCGUAGCGGUGAACUUAAGCCCCAGUAAACGGCGGUGGUAACUAUAACCAUCCUAAGGUAGCGAAAUUCCUUGUCGGGUAAGUUCCGACCUGCACGAAUGGAGUAACGACUUCCCUACUGUCUCAACCAUGAACUCGGCGA